Molecule: long non-coding RNA, 1343 nt
Organism: Halichondria panicea
Lineage: Eukaryota; Metazoa; Porifera; Demospongiae; Suberitida; Halichondriidae
Exons: 3
Source: RefSeq, a predicted model, not a curated record
AAACAGAGGUCAAAGCAAUCCAACUGCUGCAGGGCAAACAUUGAAAUAUCAAACCCUAUACUAUAUGUAUGCAAUAUAUAUGCAAUGGAAUAAAGAUGUACUCUAAAGCUCUUGGAAAAAGGACUAUUACAUGUAUACAGAGUAUGUUCUAUCGUAUCGGACAGAACUCGAGCAAUACAGACUCUGGAACCAGUGGCUCACACUACAACCAGUAUAUUAUUGUUCUCUCCUACUCCUCCUGCAAUUUGUUUCAACCCAUGGCUCUGCAGAGCAUCUUCAUUAUUUCAAAACACAACCUAGACCCCAUGUCCAUCACAAGUAAAAUCAAACUAUGCUACAGCAGUGCUUUUAGGAUAGACAACUCGAAAAAGUGUCUAACUGGACAUGUAUAAUUAUAGUUAUGUAUUAAAAUAUGCUGUAUAUAUGGACGGACGUAUAUAUAGCCAUGCACUGGUUAUAGAGUCCGUAUUGCUCCAGCUUAUACCCGAUAAUUAUUGUAGGACACACAAUCACUAUAGGGAUAGCAUAUAAAUCACAAUGCACUUAAUUAGUCAUGCAUCUAAAAGGUUGUUUUGUGUCUGUCAGUGAGUGUCUGUAAGUGAGUGGUUUGUCUAAGUAAAGGCAGUGCAAUUAACCAAAAGCUCCCAGCCAAUUAAUGUAUACCCACACAUGAAUGCUUGGUCUAUGAAUGUUUUAUUGUGAUACACACCUAACAAAUGAAUGCUUGGUCAGUCACUACUGUCUACAAUGCAGCCACCAGCUUUAAAAUUAAUUUCAAGGUUUGACAAUCUGUUCAACGUACUGGAAAGCAGCCAAUUUGUCCUUGUUAUAAGAAGUUCUGUAUAUACAUACAUGCAUGGUCUUUGUGGACGGAAUCGACUCAGUAACUUUGCUAACGAGAAAAGGAUGUUGUCUUUCGACAUUCUUGACAUGGGAAUACACAUUUGGUUUAGGAGAUCCGCGCCUUAUCCAAUAGAUAGGUUGAUAUUAACGUAUUAUUCUCAUAAUUACUAUGCAAACGGGACUAACACCUUGUUCCAAUUUGCAGGUCAGCCAAGUAGAGAACCAUCAUAUCGUUACCAGACAUCGCGGAGGGACCAACUGAUGCAUGUUGAUUAUUGUGGAUUGCUGACAGUACAUGAAUCAAUAACGUUGAUGCUAUUAUAUCCACCAAUGUGACAUAAUAGAAGGACCUGCAGGAAAAAAGCAAUAAUUAACUUGAGCACUAAGCCUGCAUGAGAAAACAGUAUGUAGAUACACAAUAAUGCGGUGUGUUGUAUCAGCUCUUUGCUACUGAACUACAGAGGUUUUCAAAACACUGCAUACACCAAUGCAUACAGAGC